RNAcentral lists this ribosomal RNA (301 nucleotides) under uncultured bacterium. RNAcentral describes it as "partial 16S ribosomal RNA". It matches the Rfam family "Bacterial small subunit ribosomal RNA", at positions 509 to 807 of the family's 1533-position model. The record is from RNAcentral.
CAGUCGCCGCGGUAAUACAGAGGGUGCAAGCGUUAAUCGGAAUUACUGGGCGUAAAGCGCGCGUAGGUGGUUCGCCAAGUUGAAUGUGAAAUCCCCGGGCUCAACCUGGGAACUGCAUCCAAAACUGGCGAGCUAGAGUAUGGUAGAGGGUGGUGGAAUUUCCUGUGUAGCGGUGAAAUGCGUAGAUAUAGGAAGGAACACCAGUGGCGAAGGCGACCACCUGGACUGAUACUGACACUGAGGUGCGAAAGCGUGGGGAGCAAACAGGAUUAGAUACCCGCGUAGUCCCUGUCUCUUAUAC